GUUCGGAUUGUAGGCUGAAACUCGCCUACAUGAAGCUGGAGUUGCUAGUAAUCGCGAAUCAGCAUGUCGCGGUGAAUACAUUCCCGGGCCUUGUACACACCGCCCGUCACACCAUGAGAGUUGGCAAUACCCAACGUACGUGAUCUAACCCGCAAGGGAGGAAGCGUCCUAAGGUAGGGUCAGCGAUUGGGGUGAAGUCGUAACAAGGUAAC
Molecule: ribosomal RNA, 212 nt
Filed under: uncultured bacterium
Lineage: Bacteria
Description: partial 16S ribosomal RNA
Rfam family: Bacterial small subunit ribosomal RNA
Source: RNAcentral